RNAcentral lists this long non-coding RNA (689 nucleotides) under Bos taurus (domestic cattle). RNAcentral describes it as "long non-coding RNA NONBTAT011897". The record is from RNAcentral. Lineage: Eukaryota; Metazoa; Chordata; Mammalia; Artiodactyla; Bovidae.
UUUAUCUUCUGAUAGACUAUAGUGUAUUUUUCACAUUUAACAAUACUGAAUGACAGCCACAGCACAUUUUCCAAUCUUCACAAUAUCUGCUAAUGCAAGCUAUGAUCCAGUGUUUUAUUCAUACGUACACUCUAAUCAGAUGACAUUUGAUAUUUAAUUAUUCUACUGUAGUUUUCUGGCUAAAGUGAAGUUUGCCAGUAUAAUAAAUCUUAGGGAAUUUCUUGAGUUUAAAAUUAGUAAGUAUUAUUAGAUUGAAUUCUCUAAGAUAAUAAAAUAAAAACAAGAGUGUAAGAAAAGUUCCAUAGUCUUAGCCAAACCCCCUUUGCAGCUAGAAAUUUUCCCGUAUCUGCCUUGAGAUUUUUGAUGCUAUUAAGUAGUUCUCCUCCUUUUCUGUUACAUUUUCAGGCUAAACUGUUACUUUGUUUUUGGUUUUCCAAAAGAGUUUAUAUGAAAUGUAACACUUUAUAUAAAUAAUAGUAUUAAAGACUCUUGAUCUCUACUUGUAAAGAAAGAGAAUGUCAUUAUAUUGGAGUGAUUUAUCUGAAAGUCAUCCAACAGUCUCAACUAGUCACAGUAUAAUGGUAACCUCAAAGGUUUAUAUUUGAAGGGCUGAAGUAGAUACCACAAAAUCCAUGGGACUAAAUUAUUUCAAUGAAUAAUGUGAAGCAUUAAUCUUACUCUUCCUUUGC